GGAUUAGAUACCCUGGUAGUCCACGCCGUAAACGAUGAUCACUAGACGUUAGGCCUGCUUGCGGGCUUAGUGUCGCAGCUAACGCGAUAAGUGAUCCGCCUGGGGAGUACGGUCGCAAGAUUAAAACUCAAAGAAAUUGACGGGGGUCCGCACAAGCGGUGGAACAUGUGGUUUAAUUCGAUACUACGCGAGAAACCUUACCUAGACUUGACAUGCUUUUGAUCGCUAUGGAAACAUAGUUUUCUAGGCUUUUGUCUAGACAAUUGCACAGGUGCUGCAUGGCUGUCGUCAGCUCGUGCCG
This 301-nucleotide ribosomal RNA is filed under the name uncultured bacterium. RNAcentral describes it as "bacterial SSU rRNA". It matches the Rfam family "Bacterial small subunit ribosomal RNA", at positions 775 to 1067 of the family's 1533-position model. The record is from RNAcentral.